CAAGUUACUCUCAGCUUGCCAUGUCCAAAAGGAAAUAAAACUAUGACAGUAUCCCUCCCACCACACAGUUUACACUCUGUCCUCAUCCUCAUGCGUCUGACUUAUCUCCUCCCCAAUGUGACAAUUGGCUCUUUCAGGAGCAGAGCUUGGUAUUCCAGUGGAUGCACAGUGUUCCACCAUUGUACCUUGGAUUCCUUUUGUUUUGCUGGGUACACCUGCAUGAUGCUUUAUAAAAAUUUGGAUUAGUUGGCAACAGUGAAGACAAGGAGCAUAUAGAUACGAUGGAGACUGUAUUGGUUAUUUUUCUCUCUGAGAAAAAGUAUCCAACAUUCAAAAUUAAGGAAGGAGAGGUUUUUUGCUCACAGUUUGUGGAGGUUUUAGUUCAUACUCGGCUGGCUCCAAGGCAGAGAGUCGCACAUGGCAGAGGCCAGCAGUUCAUGACAGCCAGAAGACAGCAAAAGCAACAAGGACAAAAAGGGAACAGUGUGUAGAGAAGACUCUUUGGGUCGCUUGUAUUGUAUGUCGGUCACACCCACCUCGAGGGGAGCGAAAUGCUCAUAUCCAUAAUUCAGCAUUGGAUACUGAAUCAGUCACAGAUUCUAGAAGGCUGCCCUCAUGACUGCAUGAGGUUUUGGGUGGACAUCUAGACACAAAUUAUAACAGGACCAUGACAGAAGUUUAAAUUGCAUAUAUUCAUGAUGAUUAUAACUUUUAGAUUUAAGGAUAAUAAUUGUGCACAAGAAGAGACAAGUAAUAUGGAAGAAAAGGAAGAAAGAAGAAAUACCUUGAUUUUCUUUCGAACUAAAGGAGGAGUAUUUAGCAAAAGAGAUGAAAACUAAAGCCAUCCAUAGCCUAAUAAAGUAAUGAUAUGAGCACUGAUAGAAACAGCAUUAUCUCAGCAGUUAUAAAGUAUAAGAUGUUCUUUUAUUUUAUUAACCAUUAAGAAAACAAAAAUAUUACCAGUUAAAUCAUGAAAUGGUAUUGGCUAUUAGAUGCAUCCUAUUUUCAGAGUUGCUAAAAUAGAGAAAAAAAAUCAAUAUAAUGAAGUCAACUACCACUUCUAUCUCCACUCCAAGAAUAGCCUUUGUUCAGAUGCUUCCUGGCUUUCAUGUAUGCAAUGUUCACAACAUUAUAAUCUCCAUAAAUCAACAAGCAGACAAAGAACAUGAUACAACUAUAAAGUGUAAUAAUAUGCAUAUACCAAAAUGAAACACUUACACAUUCAUUGUUCAAUAUUGAUGAAACUUGAAAACAUGCUAAGUGAAGCCAAGUAGCAAUUAGAAUAUCCCACAUGAUUCCAUGUAUAUGAACUAGAUCAAAUAGGGAAAUCCAUAAAUAAAUAAAAAAGUCUAGUCAUGAUUGGGUAGCACUUUUAGUUUGUGAACAAAUGAGAAGUGACUGCUAAUGGAUAUGGGAUGUUAUUUUUUGGAUGAUAAAACUGUUUUGGCAUGAAGUAGUAGUGAUAGUUGCAAAUUUGUACCAGGGAUCAAAUUCAUGACCUUGUGCUUGCCAGGAAUGUGAAUAUAUUGUUUUAGAUCAUUAGAUUGUACAUUUCAAAAAAUGAAUUAUAUGGUAUGCCACUUUUAUCUUUAUAAAUGUGAUAGUUAACUGACUGUGUCAAUUUAAGCAAGAAACACCCACCUAGAUUAGAUCUUCGUAGUUCUGGAUGUGGCGGAAGGGAAUUACUGAAGGCAGAAGACUCAUCCUGGGUGUGAGUGACACUAACCAAUAGGCUUUGCUGCCUGAAUGGAGUAAGAGGGAUAUAAAAAAGGAAGUCUGGUUUCUGUUUCUUCAGAGCAGCUUUGGUCUUCAUCCUCACUUUCAACAUCAGCUCCUGGCUUCCAGCAUAGACUCUUCAGCCUUCCAUCACAGACCCUUCAGCCUCCUGGUAUGGAUUUGCAUGGGACACUACAGUGAGCUCCAGAUCUUUGACUGGAGCCUUUAGAUCUUCAGUGUAAAGAAAGUCCUUUUGCACUCCUCCAUACCUGACCCUGUGGGCAGCCAUUCUCAUAAGAUAGUCUUGUAAAUUCUUACAUAUUUCUAUAUCUUGCAUUUAAUCUGUUUCCCUUAUCCAUCAGUAAGCACUGAUGGAUACAAUAAACAUUCAGUUUUUUUAAAUUAACAAUUUGAAAUCUGGUUAAAUUUCACAGGGCAUGAAAGAAUUAUUGUCAGUUUUUGAGACAGUUAUAUGAUUGUGGUGAUGGUCUUUCAACAGAUCUAUGAAGAUAUCUCUCAAAACUUAGUCUUUUUUUUUUCCAGAAAAAUUAAUAGCAAGUUCACAUUGCUAAGGUGAUACCCUGAUGCAGGGCUUCCUCACAUGGACAUGGUGGCCAAGGACUCUAAUCUCACACUAAUGUUACGAUCUUAUGAAUAUUUCUUAGCGUGUACCAAGUCUCUAUUUCCUCUUCUGUAAAGCAGAGACUUAUAAGGAUUGCACACGUCAAGGACAGUUGUGAAAGCCAGGAAGCUUCUGAGCAAAGGCUAUUCUUGGAGUGGAGAUAGAAGUGGUAAUUGACUUCAUUAUAUUGAUUUUUUUUUUGUUUUCAAGUUUCAUCAAUAUUGAACAAUGAAUGUGUAAGUGUUUCAUUUUGGUAUAUGCAUAUUAUUACACUUUAUAGUUGUAUCACGUUCUUUGUCUGCUUGUUGACUUAUGGAGAUUAUAAUGUUGUGAACAUUGUAUACGUUUCCUGUGGAUGUAUGUUCUCAAUUAUCUUGAUAAUAUGCAUGGAAAUGGAAUUGCAGGGUUGUACAGUGACUUUAUAUUCAACUUUCUGAGGAACUGCUAGACUGUUUUCCACAGUGGUGUGCCACUUUAUAUUCUCAACAGCAAUGUACGAGGGUUCCAACUUCUCCACAUCCUCACCAAUACUUGUUAUUGCGUGUUUGUUGUCAUUAUAGUCAUCCUAGGGAGUGUGGAGUAGUCUUAUUGUGGUUCCAUUAAUUUUUAAAGUAUCAGUUUGUAAGCCUGCAAAAUGUUUAUAAUUGAUCCUUAUGACUUGAUCUCUGAAAAAUUGGCAAAUUGUCUUUAUAGCCAUAUGUGUACACAUCCGCUUCCAUUAAAUCCCCAGGGCUCAAUCUGAUGGAUUUUAACAACACUCCUGUGGAGUAGGUUGAUAGGAAAAUCAUCAUCUCCAACAGCCAUAAGCUGAGAGAGGCUGCCAGCCAAGGAGUAAAUCAUCCUAUUCACAGUUCAGUGCUUUAUUACUAGGUCACUCUGCCCACGGAUAAGGAAUGGGAGAAAUGAGAGACACGGAAGAGACUUGCUGAAUUGUACACUCCAUUAGAAUAUCUAAAUCUAUGGCAGAACUUGCACCUUCAAUAUGUCUUUUUAUGAUUUGUCCCAUUCACUUUUAAAGUCAGGAAGGUGACAAUAAAAAGACUCUGUAUCAUGCAAAAUGACACAUUUUAUUUUUCAUAUUUGUUCCCCAAAGAAGUCGCAUUGCAAAGAAAUAACAUCGUUCUGAAAGCCAAAGCACUUCCAUCAUUUAUGAGCUCUCUGCAGCAGUGGCAGAAAAGCAGAUAUUUCAGUUCUCAAAAUUCAAGACACAAUUUAGCUUUUAUAGAGCCUUGUUAUAAAUCGUGUAUGUACAUGUGUAUACAGAUCUGUUUUAUAUUAGACACUGCAGGCAUAAGAAAUUGUUAUGUGCUGCUGCUUGUCAAUCAGAAUAAGACUGUGAUUUUUUUUUGAUAAAACAAAUGGCAGAAGCAAAAGAGUGACAAAAUACCAUCCCCUUCCCUUCCAAAAAAGACCCAAACUCUAAUCCUUCAAAUAUCUAUUGUAUAAUUUAUCCAGCCCAUACCCUCUCUAGAAAAAAGAAAGGAAGUAAAAGGAGAUAAGUUAAAUUAUAUCCUUUAAGUGUGUAUUGUAUCAGAAAGAUGCUACUUUUUUCCCAAAUAAACUCAUGAAAAUGUUUUCAUGUCUUUAUUAUGAUUGAGCUUCUAGAAUGAAUUGACUUAUUUAUAUACUAAUUGGAUGAAUUAACUCACAAAUACAUAUUGAGCGAGCAUCUUUUAUCUGUAAGGCAAAGGAUUUCUCCUGUUGGACUAGCUAUUGCCAGCAUGGAAAACUUCCUUGCUCUUUGAGAAGAUCUGCCUCAGGUGACAGCAUCAUUCAAUCUCUUGCCUACUUACUGUUUGUUUCAAAGUCCCUUCCUAGUUUAUAAACACUUUCUCUAAAAUUGAAAACCUCCCUUUUAUACCCUGAGCUCAGAUAAUCUUAUUUUUGUCUUACUUACUUUCAAAAUAACUUAUGAUCUAACAAGUUAUGUAACUUACUUGUUGAUGACAUUUAUUAUUUGUUUUUCCACUACAAUGUAAGAUUUCUAAGGGCAAAAAUUUUGUCUGAUUUCUUCCUCUUCCCUACUGUAUUACCUUCAUGGCCUGGACAGCCUUGAACAUAUAGCAGUUUUGUGACUUAUAUUUGUUAAAUAAAUGAAUGUAAGA
Cavia porcellus (domestic guinea pig) is the source of this 4443-nucleotide long non-coding RNA. RefSeq lists it as uncharacterized. The record is from RefSeq and is a predicted model, not a curated record. Lineage: Eukaryota; Metazoa; Chordata; Mammalia; Rodentia; Caviidae. The transcript is spliced from 3 exons.